UAAGUUGAUUAUAGAAUUGGAGAUAACUGAAUUGUCAUGGGUAAAUUUUGUGGCGGAUUAUCAUUCUGUACUAAAGUCCGAUUGAUAAUUUUGGCGAAAUUUACUUCAUUUUAUGCAGACUAUGGAUAGCCCAGCUGCUAAUUCUGAAAUAUUGCUGAAUGGACCGCCCUUCAGUACACCAGCUUUGGAUCGCCCAGCUGUGAUACAAUGAUUAGUUCAAUCGUCAUCAACAUUUUAUUGAUUGACAAAUAUUUUGGUUGUGUACUGUUGUUGUAACAGUUGUUGUUGUUUUAUGAAUGAAUUUUGAUUAAAUGUUGCCAUGACAAUUCAAUAUCCAAACAAAAUCAGUGUUUGUUAUUUGUUGUAGUGAAAUUCAAAUCAAGGCAUCAAUGGCG
RNAcentral lists this long non-coding RNA (395 nucleotides) under Mytilus galloprovincialis (Mediterranean mussel). The record is from RNAcentral. Lineage: Eukaryota; Metazoa; Mollusca; Bivalvia; Mytilida; Mytilidae.